UAAAAUUAUGCAAUUUAAUAUGAAGAAAUUAUUGGAUGUCUGUUUUCAAACACAAUUGGUUUCACUCAAAAAGGAGUUACUAUCUCAAGAUACAGAGGUUCUAUUGUGACUGAUGCACAUUAACUUGCAAAACAGAACAAUUCAUUUCAUAAUGUUACGAAAUAAUGUACAAAUAAUAUAAAAUUACACAACUUUCAAGUAUCAUAAUACUAUAAAUUAGCUUUCAAAUACAGUUAUUUUCACUAAAGAAUGAGUUUUAUUCCAAAAACUAACUAACUUAAGAUUAUGCAUGAGGAAUGAGGGAUAAGAAGAAACCCAUCUCUAAUUGAUGAUGAGUAAGUUUUUCUCUCCUCUAAUCCUUUGCCCUUAGCUUUUCUCCAAUCUUUUCCCAAUUCUUGAAACCUUAUUCUCCAUUUGUUCUUCUUUGCUUCCAAUAUUCUGCACAAAUCUCUUUGUUUUUAACCCUAAAACAAUGUGUUUAAUAUAACGGUUCACUUGCAUGUGGAUUUUCUUGGUGAUUACAUGAAUAAUGUUGAAAGAAAAUGAUGAAAAUGGUGAGGAAGGAUAUAGUACAAUUUAGAGUUGAGAGAGCGAGAUCCUAAGAUACCUCUUUUAAUUUGAUCAUUGGACAAUUUAUUUGGUCAAUGUGUACGAAGUGUGUCCAUUGAUGGAGGUUUGGCUUUUCCGCUUUGUAGUUCUCUCUCUUCGUUGUUGGAGCUUUUGUCAUGGGUUUGUCUAGGUGUCUUUAAAAUGGAUAUAUUGG
Molecule: long non-coding RNA, 763 nt
Filed under: Medicago truncatula (barrel medic)
Lineage: Eukaryota; Viridiplantae; Streptophyta; Magnoliopsida; Fabales; Fabaceae
Description: long non-coding RNA (MTRU_LNC004915)
Source: RNAcentral